UACGUAGGGUGCAAGCGUUAUCCGGAAUUAUUGGGCGUAAAGAGCUCGUAGGCGGUUUGUCGCGUCUGCUGUGAAAACUGGGGGCUCAACCCCCAGCCUGCAGUGGGUACGGGCAGACUAGAGUGCGGUAGGGGAGAUUGGAAUUCCUGGUGUAGCGGUGGAAUGCGCAGAUAUCAGGAGGAACACCGGUGGCGAAGGCGGUUCUCUGGGCCUUACCUGACGCUGAGGAGCGAAAGCGUGGGGAGCGAACAGG
RNAcentral lists this ribosomal RNA (253 nucleotides) under uncultured bacterium. RNAcentral's name for it is "partial 16S ribosomal RNA". It matches the Rfam family "Bacterial small subunit ribosomal RNA", at positions 524 to 776 of the family's 1533-position model. The record is from RNAcentral.